UACGGAGGAUGCAAGCGUUAUCCGGAAUGAUUGGGCGUAAAGGGUCCGCAGGUGGCAGUGUAAGUCUGCUGUCAAAGAAUGAGGCUUAACCUCAUCAAGGCAGUGGAAACUACACAGCUAGAGUACGGUCGGGGUAGAAGGAAUUCCUGGUGUAGCGGUGAAAUGCGUAGAGAUCAGGAAGAACACCGGUGGCGAAAGCGUUCUGCUGGACCUCAUCUGACACUCAGGGACGAAAGCUAGGGGAGCGAAUGGG
This 253-nucleotide ribosomal RNA is filed under the name uncultured bacterium. Its description in RNAcentral is "partial 16S ribosomal RNA". It matches the Rfam family "Bacterial small subunit ribosomal RNA", at positions 524 to 776 of the family's 1533-position model. The record is from RNAcentral.